This 2974-nucleotide long non-coding RNA is filed under the name Sus scrofa (pig). RNAcentral describes it as "lncRNA (ENSSSCG00025009739.1)". The record is from RNAcentral. Lineage: Eukaryota; Metazoa; Chordata; Mammalia; Artiodactyla; Suidae.
CUUUCAAACUGAAAGAAUUUAUAAUCUAAUUUAUUAAUAUUCUCUGGAAAAGACAAAGAUACAACAGUAUGCCUGUUUAGAAAGUAUUUCAUAACUCACUCAGGGGAAAAACCUUACCUCAUUUCGGGAAAAAAUUGGGAUUUUGCCCUGUCCUUAUGUGCUAUUUUCCGUAGUAUUUUUCCAGUAGUACUUCUCCAAAUCAAGCUAGGGACAGUUCAGCUUCAAGUUUUAUUGACAUUUUUUGUGGGCAUGAAAUGCUUUUUUUAAUACCUUACUUUAACUCAUUUUGUGUAUUUCUAUGGGAUUCCUAUUUCUUUUCUGAAGAAAGGAGAAAAAGUCAUUAACUUAGAGAAGUUCAGACUUUUCAGAAGGUCAUGAAUCUGACAAGCCAGAAGCAAUGGAUCCUUCUCCAUCUGCCUUUUAUUUCCAGCACAUUUAUACAACCUUCAAGUCUUUGUUUUUCAAAUCUCAGGGAGAGCUACCCAUCCUGGAGUCAAUUGAUGGUUAUCAGGAAGGUGUUUUCAGCUAUUUUCAAAAUACCUUGCAUCUAUGGAACGUGUGUAUAUUUUUGGGUAAUGGCUACUGGACAUCUCCUUGCUUCCUGGUUAUGCCAGGAGUGCCUUUUUCCCUUCAGUACGAUUCCUUCAAACAUUUUGGUAAGAAUUCUUCAUGGGUUGGUGUGCCCCAUAUCACGACAUAUGGUAUGCCCCAUAUCACGUGUACCCCAUAUCAUGACACAUUAGGGUGCAUGGAUUGUCUGUUUUUUGGGGGUGCUAAGAAGGAUCGGUGCAUUUGGGUGGUGAUGAUCUGAUUCUUCUUGGUCCUUCUCAUCUAACAAUUUUAUAUACUGAUAAUUGAAUCAAUUAUUUCAUCUGGGAUUAUAAAAUGUGAUUUUUAAGAAUACUAUACUUUCUAUAUUACAAUCCCAUAAUUUCAUCCACUUUAUUCUGUAAAGAAGAACUUUCUCUCAUCAAGAGGAAUAAUUUCUUUUAAGAGGAAUGAUUUUGAAUUCCUGAAAUAUAGUUAAUAGAGUGAAGGAAAAAUAGGCACUUCAUUUUAUCAUUUUAAUUGACUUUUUUGAAGUAAAGAUUUUUAAAAUGGUAUAUAUUAACUAUGUUUCAUUUUUUUCCACUUUUAAAAAUUAUUUUUUACUUAUGUAAAAUAUAUGUGCAAUAUGUUUCAGACAAUUAUGUUCAUUAUUAUAUCUGAUGAUGAAAUCAUUUUGAAUUUGGCCAAUAGCCACGCUUUCAUGCUGGCUCCUUGACUUUUGGAAAUGACCCUUUGACUUAUAUUUUCCUUGCUUCUUGACACAGCAAAAUAAUUCAGCUUGUAUAUUUCCAGAUUCACAUUUAGAAUCAGCUAUUGUUCUGAAGCCUCUGAAUCACUUAAACAGGAAAUGGCAUUUAGAAACCAGAGUCUAGGUGCUAGUUGUGCUCGGUACUAUUUUGUGCCAUUGCUUCUAGGCCUCUUCAGUGAACAGAGCUAGAGCUAGGAAAUUUGUAUUUUCUAAAGAGAAAAUAAAAAUCAGGAUUUAUAAAAAUUUUUCAAAUUCAGAUUUAACUUUAAAAAAUAUAACUCAACAUUUUGAUCUUAUGCUUGCAUUGCUUUUCUCUUACAUGAAGUAUUUUACUAUGUAAUAAUAUCAAAUUUAAUUGUACACUUACAUAUAUAAAAUUUCAAAGUAAAAUUACCAAUAUUAUUACCAAUAUUGUUAAGACUUCUUUUAAAUUCUGUUUGUCCACAGGAUAUAUUCAAAGUAAAAUUACCAAUAUUAUUAUCAGUACUGUUUAAAUUUCUUUUGAACUAUUUGUCCUCAGAAUAUGUUCCACUAAAUAUGAAAAGUCAAAAAACUAUGUGGGAAAAACAAAUGUGUAUUUGUUUAUGUCUCUAACUUGACAUACAAGUCAGGUUCAUGUUUUCACUUUGUAUUCAUAUUUUAAGGCUGUUACUUCAAUUCUCAUCUCUUCUAUUUUUCUCCUUUUUUAUGGCUACCCAUUUUAAAAAACAAGUUUUAAUUAGCAUAAGUUUAAUAUCAAAAAUUUCAAAAGCAACUUGCCAAAUAAAUGCAAAUUCUUUCCUUAUAGAAAAAAAGCACAUUAUUUAUCCUAUUGCACAUUUUAAUUUUCCACUUAAUAAAAUAUCCUGGGGACCAUUUUGUGUCAGUGUAUGAUAUGAUCUUCAGUUCUUUUCAAGACAAUAUGAUAUUUAAUUUAUGAUAAUUUAUUUAACCAGUCCCUACUGAUAAACUUUUGCGUUGUUUCCAGGUUUUGGUACUAAAAAUAAUUCUGCAAUGAAUAACCUUGUAUAUAAAAAAAAAUCAUAAACUUGCCACUUCUUGACAGAUACCUAAAAGUGGAAUUGCUGAGUCAAAAAGAAAAUGCAUAAGCAAUUAUUCUAGUUACUGUCAACCCCUUCUCUAUCAUUAUUCUCUCCUGUUUUUCCACUGUCACGGAGUUGCUGGAUCACAAUAAAAUGAUAUAUUGUCAACUUUUUAGGUUUUUGCCAUUCUUGUUGGUGAGAAUUGAUAUCUUAAUAAAAUUUUAAUUUAUGAGUUAGAUUGCUCACCUUCUCAUAUAUUUCAUUCUUCUUCUGUAUACUGUUUGUUAACAUCUCUUGCAACUGUUUCUCUCUGGCUGUUGUUCUUUUGCCUCAAUUUUAAAGAUAUCUUUGUGCUGUGAAAUUGUCAUCCCUUUGUCUAUAAGUUAUAUAUGUUUCCUUAGUUUAUUCUUUGUCUUUGUUUAUGGUAUUUUUCCAGUACAAGUCUUUUAUUUUAUUAUUAUUUUUUUCUUUUUAUGAACUUGCAGCAUAUGGAAGUUCCUGGGCUAGAGGUUGAAUCAGAGCUGCAGCUGCAGGCCUGUGCCACGGUCACAGCAAUAUUGGAUCUGAGCCCCAUCUGUGACCUAUGCUGCAGCUUGAUGCAAUGCUGGAUCCUUAACCCACUGCAAUGGGGUCUCCUAUUUUAGUGUAGUCAAAC